AGAGUUUGAUCCUGGCUCAGGAUGAACGCUAGCUACAGGCUUAACACAUGCAAGUCGAGGGGCAGCAUUUUAGUUUGCUUGCAAACUGAAGAUGGCGACCGGCGCACGGGUGAGUAACACGUAUCCAACCUGCCGAUAACUCCGGGAUAGCCUUUCGAAAGAAAGAUUAAUACCGGAUGGCAUACGAAUAUCGCAUGAUAUUUUUAUUAAAGAAUUUCGGUUAUCGAUGGGGAUGCGUUCCAUUAGUUUGUUGGCGGGGUAACGGCCCACCAAGACUACGAUGGAUAGGGGUUCUGAGAGGAAGGUCCCCCACAUUGGAACUGAGACACGGUCCAAACUCCUACGGGAGGCAGCAGUGAGGAAUAUUGGUCAAUGGGCGAGAGCCUGAACCAGCCAAGUAGCGUGAAGGAUGAAGGCUCUAUGGGUCGUAAACUUCUUUUAUAUGGGAAUAAAGUAUUCCACGUGUGGAAUUUUGUAUGUACCAUAUGAAUAAGGAUCGGCUAACUCCGUGCCAGCAGCCGCGGUAAUACGGAGGAUCCGAGCGUUAUCCGGAUUUAUUGGGUUUAAAGGGAGCGUAGGUGGAUUGUUAAGUCAGUUGUGAAAGUUUGCGGCUCAACCGUAAAAUUGCAGUUGAAACUGGCAGUCUUGAGUACAGUAGAGGUGGGCGGAAUUCGUGGUGUAGCGGUGAAAUGCUUAGAUAUCACGAAGAACUCCGAUUGCGAAGGCAGCUCACUAGACUGUUACUGACACUGAUGCUCGAAAGUGUGGGUAUCAAACAGGAUUAGAUACCCUGGUAGUCCACACAGUAAACGAUGAAUACUCGCUGUUUGCGAUAUACAGUAAGCGGCCAAGCGAAAGCAUUAAGUAUUCCACCU
Molecule: ribosomal RNA, 875 nt
Filed under: gut metagenome
Description: bacterial SSU rRNA
Rfam family: Bacterial small subunit ribosomal RNA
Source: RNAcentral